AAUCAUCCUCAACUCUUCCAAGCGUUCAUUCGCUUUGGAACAGUUGGAUUUUGGACGUGUUGUUUCCUUCCUUUUCGGCAACGUAGAAGUUGGAAACUCGUCUCAAAUAGAUGGGAAAUGCUGGGGUCACCGUUUGAACGGACCUUGCAAAGCAGCAACAGUGAUCUUCAUUGAUUUUGUUACUCUCUUUGUGCACGGGUCUUUAGGUACCUCGUUUUACAAGGCCUUUCCGAAUCGCCCUUUUUGUACAGCCUUGCUGUCGGGCAACAAUUUAAGA
RNAcentral lists this unclassified non-coding RNA (277 nucleotides) under uncultured Chytridiomycota. RNAcentral describes it as "sequence contains ITS2". Lineage: Eukaryota; Fungi; Chytridiomycota. The record is from RNAcentral.